CUUUAACAAUCACAUAAAAGUAAGGAGAGAUAAGUCUACCUCUAAGAUCCGCAGAGGAAGAGACCUCUGAUUUAUGAUAAAGAAAGGUAUAGUGUUUAGAGAAAGAGAUAGAUAAGGGAGCUUACGACAAUAUCAAUCACAACAAUGAUUCAGACCCAUGAAAGAAAAGAGUGCCUGAUUAAAGUAAAAAAUGCAUCAGUAAUUAACUGAAAGGCAAGAAUAUCACAAUAGUGAGAAAUUAUGGCGAAUGCCAGAACAAGAAUAAUAAAUAAUUUGGGGCUAAACCAAACAAAGGUAAAAAUGCUACAGUGUGCAGACGACAUUGUGUGUAUAUAUGUGAAAGGACUAUUACUAUAGAAAGAAGCAAUACACCAAUGGGGCAAUAGAAAUAACAAUAAGCAAAUUAAUGGAAAACUUAAACAACAUUAAACUAUAUGUCGGGUUCACAUUAUGAUUAGAGUUAGGGGCGUGAAACGAAUCUUCAUUUGGAUUAGACAUUAUUGUUAUGCAAUAGAGAAGAUAUUUACUAGUGCAAAUAUGAUUAUUA
This 547-nucleotide unclassified non-coding RNA is filed under the name Bombus terrestris (buff-tailed bumblebee). RNAcentral describes it as "misc RNA ENSBTSG00005024319.1". Lineage: Eukaryota; Metazoa; Arthropoda; Insecta; Hymenoptera; Apidae. The record is from RNAcentral.